This 135-nucleotide small RNA is filed under the name Stutzerimonas stutzeri. The record is from RNAcentral. Lineage: Bacteria; Pseudomonadati; Pseudomonadota; Gammaproteobacteria; Pseudomonadales; Pseudomonadaceae.
UGUGUUCAGGGACAAGCACAGCCGGCAUGGAUGUCGAGCAGGAUCAACCGCUGGAAGCGGUUUCAUCAGGACGAUGAGUAGGAAAAAAAGGAAGUAGGGAAGGAGGCGGGCGGGGGUUAACCCCCGCCCCUUUUU